UACGUAGGGACCGAGCGUUGUCCGGAAUCAUUGGGCGUAAAGAGCGUGUAGGCGGCCACUUAAGUCCUGCGUGAAAUCUUGCGGCUCAACCGCAAGCGGUCGUGGGAAACUGGGUGGCUAGAGUGCGGGAGAGGAGAGUGGAAUUCCUGGUGUAGCGGUGGAAUGCGCAGAUAUCAGGAGGAACACCAAUGGCGAAGGCAGCACUCUGGGACGUGACUGACGCUGAGACGCGAAAGCGUGGGGAGCAAACAGG
RNAcentral lists this ribosomal RNA (253 nucleotides) under uncultured bacterium. RNAcentral's name for it is "partial 16S ribosomal RNA". It matches the Rfam family "Bacterial small subunit ribosomal RNA", at positions 524 to 776 of the family's 1533-position model. The record is from RNAcentral.